RNAcentral lists this ribosomal RNA (449 nucleotides) under uncultured bacterium. RNAcentral describes it as "partial 16S ribosomal RNA". It matches the Rfam family "Bacterial small subunit ribosomal RNA", at positions 29 to 523 of the family's 1533-position model. The record is from RNAcentral.
AACGUACGCUGGCGGCAUGCCUAACACAUGCAAGUCGAACGAUCCCUUCGGGGAUAGUGGCGCACGGGUGCGUAACGCGUGGGAAUCUGCCCUUGGCUUCGGAAUAACAGUUAGAAAUGACUGCUAAUACCGGAUGAUGUCUUCGGACCAAAGAUUUAUCGGCCAGGGAUGAGCACGCGUAGGAUUAGGUAGUUGGUAAGGUAAAGGCUCACCAAGCCGACGAUCCUUAGCUGGUCUGAGAGGAUGAUCAGCCACACGGGGACUGAGACACGGCCCAGACUCCUACGGGAGGCAGCAGUGGGGAAUAUUGGACAAUGGGCGCAAGCCUGAUCCAGCAAUGCCGCGUGAGUGAUGAAGGCCUUCGGGUCGUAAAGCUCUUUUACCCGGGAUGAUAAUGACAGUACCGGGAGAAUAAGCUCCGGCUAACUCCGUGCCAGCAGCCGCAGUAA